UUGGAGUGAGCGGGCUGGGGGGAAGAGAGAGGCCUUUCUCGGGCUGUGUGUGGGCCUGCUGAGGGAGGGAGGAAGCUGCUGUGGGACAUUCUUGUGGAUUUAAUCCCCUAAACACUGAUGGAAAUUCAUUAUUUGGCUUCUGUUUCACGCUGUUUGUUGCGAAUAGACAUUGAAAUAAAGGACAGUAGAAACAAAUGUGAAUGAUAAAUGUAGCUGGCACUGGAUAAAUGUCUCUAUGUCAAAUCGUGCCCAGUAUUUGUUUUUCAACGGUUAGUGCAUUGGGAGCUGGACAUUGAACUGUGGAAUCAUUACAUUUGUGGAGCUGUGCAAAUGUUGGCAAGUACUCAAAGGACCAAGACAAUGUAAUAUUCCCUCGGUACUGAGCUAAGUGUGACCAGCUGCUUCGAACAAAUAGCAGAUGCUGCCACACCUGCUGAGUGCCUGAAGCAAUUUUUAGAGUGUUCAUGUCAAGUCUUCAGCUGCACCCCAGUGAAGAACAAGCAC
This is a non-coding RNA of Chiloscyllium plagiosum (whitespotted bambooshark), 504 nucleotides long. NCBI's taxonomy places the organism in Eukaryota, Metazoa, Chordata, Chondrichthyes, Orectolobiformes, Hemiscylliidae. The record is from RefSeq and is a predicted model, not a curated record.